CCCUCUGUCCUCUUUCAGCAGGCCAAUUUCCAAUCCAAACUGCUAUAUCUCCCACAAUCCCAUUCCUCCACAUUUUGUACAAUAGCCUACUGUGGGGAACCUUAUCGAACGCCUUGCUGAAGGUGCUGCAUGAAUACAUGUUUUGCUGCAAACACUUUACAGUCAAUUAAAUACAUCUGGAAUGUACUCACUGUCAUUAUGUAGGAUAUAAUGUUCAAGGCUAAGAUAAACUGAUUAUUAACCAGGAAGGGAAUCAAGGGUCAUGGGGACAAGGCGGGAAAGUUAGGUUUAGUUCAGGAUUAUCAGAUUGACUGUGGUUUCCUUGAAUGAUGGAGCAGACUCAAUGGGCUGAAUGGCCUACUUCUGUUCCCAUGUUUUAUGGUAAUAUAUGCUAACUUAUAUUUGCACAGCAAGAUCUCAAAACAGUACUGAGGUAAAUAAGCAUUUAAUCUCGAAUUGAAUGAACUGCCAGAGGAAAUGGUAGAUGCAGGUAAAUUUACAAGAUUUAAAGACGUUUGGACAAAAUAAGGACAAUUUUGGAGAGAUAUGCCCCAAACACAAGAAGGUGGGACUGGAUUGGUUCAGGAACACUCUGCAUGAAAAGGCUACCCCUCAGAUCCUUUUUAAAUCUUCCCCCUCUCACCUUAAAUCUAUGUGCUCCAGUUUAGGACUCCCCUACCUGGGAAAUCAUCAUUAGGUACUUAAUUCCAGUUUGUUUUUUUGAAUUCAAAUCCCACCAUCUGCCACAGCGGUCUUUGAACACAGGUGUCUUAUAAUACCACUAGGCCAUCACCUCCCCCAGUCGCUUGAAACUUAAUGAUCAUUGAGAAGUGGUUGCACAGUGACCAAGAUUGGGAACUGAAUAUUGAAGGCUAUUUGAUAUUCCAGAAGAACAGGCAAAAAGAACCAGAGGGAUAGACCACUAUUUCAACAUAAGCCAUAAUGAUGAGUUUCCACUGGUGGUCUGGCAUCUGUAGAUAGAUGUCACUAAAACAGAUUGUUGUCACCGGGACUGCGUGGAUGCAAAGUCAGGAAUUCAGGAAUCAUCGUGAAUUCACAGGUGUUUCACGUUUUGCAUCAGAUUCUGCAGCAGAAAAGGAAAUGAUUGCAAUGUCCUUUUAGUAAUCUCCCUUUUUAAAAAUAAGUUCAGGUAUUUCUUUAGCACUUCAAAUGAACGACUGUCCACAAUCGUUUGAACAUGACAUUCGCUAGGCCACUUUUGGGAUACUGUUUGGAAUACUGUUCAAUUCUAGUCUCUGAUAUAGGCAAGAUAUUGUGAAAUUUGAAAGGGUUCAGAAAAGAUUUACAAGGACGUUGCCAGGAUUGGAGGGUUUGAGCUACAGGGAGAGCCUGAAUAGGCUGGGGCUAUUUUCCCUGGAUAAUCAGAAGCUAAGGUGUUGACCUUACGGAGGUUUAUAAAGUCAUGAGGGGCAUGGACAAGGUGAAUAGUUGUGUUUUUCUCCAGGGUAGGGCAGUCCAAAACUAGAGGGCAUAUGUUUAAGGCAAAUUGGGAAAGAUUUAAAGGGGACCUAAGGGGCGGAAUUUUCACACAGAGAGUAGUGUGUGUAUGGAAUGAGCUGCCAGAGGAGGUGGUCGAGGAUGGUACAAUUACAACAUUUAAAAGGAUUCUGAAUGGGCACGUGAAUAGGAGGGAUUUAGAGGGAUAUGGGUCUAAUGCUGGCAAACGGGACUAAUCUAAUUUAGGAUAUCUGGUCGCCAUGGACAAGUUGGACUGAAGGAUCUGUUUCCGUGCUGUACAGCUCUAUGACUCUAGGAAGCCUCAAGAAAAAAAUGAUAAAGCAUUUUCAAACCACA
This is a long non-coding RNA of Stegostoma tigrinum, 1815 nucleotides long. RefSeq lists it as uncharacterized. The record is from RefSeq and is a predicted model, not a curated record. NCBI's taxonomy places the organism in Eukaryota, Metazoa, Chordata, Chondrichthyes, Orectolobiformes, Stegostomatidae. The transcript is spliced from 3 exons.